Molecule: transfer RNA, 60 nt
Filed under: Procambarus dupratzi
Lineage: Eukaryota; Metazoa; Arthropoda; Malacostraca; Decapoda; Cambaridae
Description: tRNA-Pro
Source: RNAcentral
CGAAGGGUAGUUUAAGUUAAAAUAUUAAUUUUGGGUAUUAGAGAUAUUAUUUUCCUUCGA